UGGGGGAUAUUGCACAAUGGGCGAAAGCCUGAUGCAGCGACGCCGCGUGGGGGAUGAAGGCUUUCGGGUUGUAAACCUCUUUCGCUAUCGAACAAGGCCCGCUUAGGGUGGGUUGAGGGUAGGUGGAGAAGAAGCGCCGGCUAACUACGUGCCAGCAGCCGCGGUAAUACGUAGGGCGCGAGCGUUGUCCGGAAUUAUUGGGCGUAAAGGGCUUGUAGGCGGCUUGUUGCGCCUGCUGUGAAAACGCGGGGCUUAACUUCGCGCGUGCAGUGGGUAGGGGCAGGCUUGAGUGUGGUAGGGGUGACUGGAAUUCCAGGUGUAGCGGUGGAAUGCGCAGAUAUCUGGAGGAACACAGAUGGCGAAGGCAGGUCACUGGGCCAUUACUGACGCUGAGGAGCGAAAGCAUGGGUAGCGAACAGG
RNAcentral lists this ribosomal RNA (420 nucleotides) under bacterium. Its description in RNAcentral is "partial 16S ribosomal RNA". It matches the Rfam family "Bacterial small subunit ribosomal RNA", at positions 355 to 776 of the family's 1533-position model. The record is from RNAcentral.